This 433-nucleotide ribosomal RNA is filed under the name uncultured bacterium. Its description in RNAcentral is "partial 16S ribosomal RNA". It matches the Rfam family "Bacterial small subunit ribosomal RNA", at positions 29 to 507 of the family's 1533-position model. The record is from RNAcentral.
AGCGAACGCUGGCGGCAGGCCUAACACAUGCAAGUCGAACGAACUCUUCGGAUUUAGUGGCGGACGGGUGAGUAACACGUGGGAACGUGCCUUUUGGUUCGGAAUAACUCAGGGAAACUUGUGCUAAUACCGAAUGUGCCCUUCGGGGGAAAGAUUUAUCGCCAUUGGAUCGGCCCGCGUUGGAUUAGCUAGUUGGUGAGGUAACGGCUCACCAAGGCGACGACCAGUAGCUGGUCUGAGAGGAUGACCAGCCACACUGGGACUGAGACACGGCCCAGACUCCUACGGGAGGCAGCAGUGGGGAAUCUUGCGCAAUGGGCGAAAGCCUGACGCAGCCAUGCCGCGUGAAUGAUGAAGGUCUUAGGAUUGUAAAAUUCUUUCACCGGGGACGAUAAUGACGGUACCCGGAGAUGAAGCCCCGGCUAACUUCGUG